This 1293-nucleotide ribosomal RNA is filed under the name Klebsiella pneumoniae. RNAcentral's name for it is "partial 23S ribosomal RNA". It matches the Rfam family "Bacterial large subunit ribosomal RNA", at positions 167 to 1506 of the family's 2925-position model. The record is from RNAcentral. Lineage: Bacteria; Pseudomonadati; Pseudomonadota; Gammaproteobacteria; Enterobacterales; Enterobacteriaceae.
UAGGUUAACGAGGCGAACCGGGGGAACUGAAACAUCUAAGUACCCCGAGGAAAAGAAAUCAACCGAGAUUCCCCCAGUAGCGGCGAGCGAACGGGGAGCAGCCCAGAGUCUGAAUCAGCUUGUGUGUUAGUGGAACGGUCUGGAAAGUCCGACGGUACAGGGUGAUAGUCCCGUACACCAAAAUGCACAGGCUGUGAACUCGAAGAGUAGGGCGGGACACGUGGUAUCCUGUCUGAAUAUGGGGGGACCAUCCUCCAAGGCUAAAUACUCCUGACUGACCGAUAGUGAACCAGUACCGUGAGGGAAAGGCGAAAAGAACCCCGGCGAGGGGAGUGAAAAAGAACCUGAAACCGUGUACGUACAAGCAGUGGGAGCACCUUCGGGUGUGACUGCGUACCUUUUGUAUAAUGGGUCAGCGACUUAUAUUCUGUAGCAAGGUUAACCGUAUAGGGGAGCCGCAGGGAAACCGAGUCUUAACUGGGCGUUAAGUUGCAGGGUAUAGACCCGAAACCCGGUGAUCUAGCCAUGGGCAGGUUGAAGGUUGGGUAACACUAACUGGAGGACCGAACCGACUAAUGUUGAAAAAUUAGCGGAUGACUUGUGGCUGGGGGUGAAAGGCCAAUCAAACCGGGAGAUAGCUGGUUCUCCCCGAAAGCUAUUUAGGUAGCGCCUCGUGAACUCAUCUUCGGGGGUAGAGCACUGUUUCGGCUAGGGGGUCAUCCCGACUUACCAACCCGAUGCAAACUACGAAUACCGAAGAAUGUUAUCACGGGAGACACACGGCGGGUGCUAACGUCCGUCGUGAAGAGGGAAACAACCCAGACCGCCAGCUAAGGUCCCAAAGUCAUGGUUAAGUGGGAAACGAUGUGGGAAGGCACAGACAGCCAGGAUGUUGGCUUAGAAGCAGCCAUCAUUUAAAGAAAGCGUAAUAGCUCACUGGUCGAGUCGGCCUGCGCGGAAGAUGUAACGGGGCUAAACCAUGCACCGAAGCUGCGGCAGCGACACUAUGUGUUGUUGGGUAGGGGAGCGUUCUGUAAGCCUGCGAAGGUGACCUGUGAGGGUUGCUGGAGGUAUCAGAAGUGCGAAUGCUGACAUAAGUAACGAUAAAGCGGGUGAAAAGCCCGCUCGCCGGAAGACCAAGGGUUCCUGUCCAACGUUAAUCGGGGCAGGGUGAGUCGACCCCUAAGGCGAGGCCGAAAGGCGUAGUCGAUGGGAAACAGGUUAAUAUUCCUGUACUUGGUGUUACUGCGAAGGGGGGACGGAGAAGGCUAUGUUAGCCGGGCGACGGUUGUC